UGCAUAUCAAAAAAGCGGAGGAAAAGAAACCAACAGGGAUUGCCCUAGUAACGGCGAGUGAAGCGGCAACAGCUCAAAUUUGAAAGCUAGCCUUCGGGUUCGCAUUGUAAUUUGUAGAGGAUGAUUUGGGGAAGCCGCCUGUCUAAGUUCCUUGGAACAGGACGUCAUAGAGGGUGAGAAUCCCGUAUGUGACAGGAAAUGGCACCCUAUGUAAAUCUCCUUCGACGAGUCGAGUUGUUUGGGAAUGCAGCUCUAAAUGGGAGGUAAAUUUCUUCUAAAGCUAAAUAUUGGCGAGAGACCGAUAGCGCACAAGUAGAGUGAUCGAAAGAUGAAAAGCACUUUGGAAAGAGAGUUAAAAAGCACGUGAAAUUGUUGAAAGGGAAGCGCUUGCAAUCAGACUUGUUUAAACUGUUCGGCCGGUCUUCUGACCGGUUUACUCAGUUUGGACAGGCCAGCAUCAGUUUCGGCGGCCGGAUAAAGGCUCUGGGAAUGUGGCCUCCACUUCGGUGGAGGUGUUAUAGCCCAGGGUGUAAUACGGCCAGCCGGGACUGAGGUCCGCGCUCGGCUAUGAGCAUGCGGUAUUGAGAU
This 588-nucleotide ribosomal RNA is filed under the name Aureobasidium pullulans. RNAcentral describes it as "partial large subunit ribosomal RNA". It matches the Rfam family "Eukaryotic large subunit ribosomal RNA", at positions 37 to 632 of the family's 3401-position model. Lineage: Eukaryota; Fungi; Ascomycota; Dothideomycetes; Dothideales; Saccotheciaceae. The record is from RNAcentral.